Molecule: long non-coding RNA, 267 nt
Organism: Perca fluviatilis (European perch)
Lineage: Eukaryota; Metazoa; Chordata; Actinopteri; Perciformes; Percidae
Exons: 3
Source: RefSeq, a predicted model, not a curated record
GUUGACCUCUCAGUGCCACCCUAACUCACUACACCGGGCUUCUGCGAUGUUACUGCAAACAAAAUAGGCAUGAGCAUGCUUAUCUGUGUUACUGCUGGAGAAAGAACAAGAAACAGCAUUGACAGAAGACAAAAAAAACAUGAAAAGGAGGACAGCUUGAGCACUAAUGUCAACAGAUGAUUGUAAAGCAUGCAUGAACAUCAGCAGUCACCAUGAACAGCAGCUACCACCAGAGGCAAGGAGGCAGGAAGAGUCAAGGACCACAAA